CAGCUCAGGGCCCGAGCCCAUCCCCUAACCAAGGCUGCCCACUGCAGCGUCCCUGCGCCAGGGGACCCCAGCAAAACGCAAGCCCCAGUGCCCAGCCCCAGGCCCCAAGGGGGACACGGGGGCUCCAUGCGCCUGCCUGGGGCUCGGAGGCGCAGACGAAGCUGCCUGGUGGGGACACGUUCGGGGCCACCUCCCAUCGCUGCAGUGGGGACGUGCUUGGGGCCACCUCCAGCAGCUCGGGGGCUGCUCAGCCUCCCCCCCUCCCUGUAAGCACAUCCAAACCCAAAGCCAACAACCACGAUGCUGCCCCCGAACUUCAACCCCUGGUCCAAAAUAUCAGAAGCUAAGCCAGGGAACAAACCCGACGUUGUACAACCCACCGAUAAGAAAACCUGUUAUUAGCUCAACCCUUUAAUCCUCCCCCAAUUCCAAUAACCGCAUUUUUCACAGCUGCUCAGGCUCCUGGUGCCGGUCUUCAUACCUCCGAGGCGUCUCUGUGCUGCUCAACAUGGCAGCAAAAAUGAGCUGGCCUGCAGCAGCAGCAGCACAUUUAGCUGAAUAAUUAUCUUAAUUAAUAACAGAGGGCCCAGGUGGGCACCCAGCCCAUCCGAACACCAAGCCAGAGGACCCGGCUCCUCGCAGCAGGGCAGCCCCAGCCCCUGCCACCGCCCUGCAGCAGGGGAUGGAGCAACAUCUGGAACAUCCUUAUCUAUCAGGAGAGAGACACAAAGACUGCGUCGUGCUCAGGUGUGCAGUGGGACAAGGAACUUGCCAGGAGGAAGACCCAAAGACCAGCUUUGAGUCCAAGUGCACUGCCCGUGGUGUGGAAGGGAAGAAGUCCAAGAUUCGUGUAAAGUCAAAAACUAAAAGGGAUGGGGGAAUGGAGAAGGGGGUAGGUGGUGAAAAUAAUUUAAGAAAAGAAAUGAGGAAUUCAAACAAAGCUUGAAAAAGUGUUUUCGCACGUUCCUUUGGCUGCUGAAACCACAACUUCCACGCCGAUCCCCCAAACUGCAUUUGAUGCCACCCAGGCCAGCAGCGCCUGCUGCAGUCAUGAUUGAAGGCAGCCUUUAAGCUUCCCUGACAAUGCAUUUUUCUUGGAGAUAAAAAAUGAAUGCUGCCAGCAUGCAAAUCUCUCUAAAUUAGGCAGGGCCCAGCUUACUGGAGCUGUGAUGUUUUGUGAUGACAAUCAUUAACUUUAGCAGAAGAAAAAAGGAUGCAGGAAAAUCGUCUGAGCCACCUCCCGUCCCAGCUGGGAGUCCCUGCUCGGGGAAGCUGUGAGAUUCGGCAGGCUGGCAUCUGAAAUUACCUGCAAGUGCAGAAGGGCAACAGAAAAAUGAGCUGUGGCCUGUUUCAUUGCGAUCAAUAAGUCAGCCAGAGGCAAAUCACUUGGUCUUUCUGCAGCUUUCUGCACCUGGAAGAGCUGGCAUUAGUGGGGCUCUCCCCUUUCUAUUGGUGGACUUAGUGCUGCUAUAAAAGCCAGACUCCCAGUUCAAGACUCAGAAUACUGAUUUUCUGCAGAGCAUGUACAGCCAAGUCCUGAAGCAGACCGUGAAAAGAAAAGUUGAUGGCAUUUGGGUGUUUUAUUGACCAUUUACCUUCCCCACUCAUUUUGAGUGGAACCUGGACAGAACCUCCCCGAUGUCCCCUUCAGGAGGGGUGAGAGCUGACCAACCUGUGCCAAAACUUGCCUUUGCUUCUGACUCACCCUGGGGAAGAUUUAGCAGGAAUGGUUAAAGUGGUUGUAGUUCCUGGUUUGUGCUCUGGCAGAGACCAACAACCCGCUGAAGAACAGCUGAACUGGACACACCCUAACCCAACUCCUCAACCUCCCCACUGAAGUGGGCUGUAUGUUCUCCUUCGUGCACUGGGCUGGAGUAACAUACUAUGGUCGUCUUGAGCUAUCUGUGCUUCCUCUUUACCCUGCUU
Molecule: long non-coding RNA, 1926 nt
Organism: Anas platyrhynchos (mallard)
Lineage: Eukaryota; Metazoa; Chordata; Aves; Anseriformes; Anatidae
Source: RefSeq, a predicted model, not a curated record